This 497-nucleotide ribosomal RNA is filed under the name uncultured bacterium. RNAcentral describes it as "partial 16S ribosomal RNA". It matches the Rfam family "Bacterial small subunit ribosomal RNA", at positions 28 to 507 of the family's 1533-position model. The record is from RNAcentral.
GAUGAACGCUGGCGGCGUGCCUAAUACAUGCCAGUCGAGCGAACAGACGAGGAGCUUGCUCCUCUGACGUUAGCGGCGGACGGGUGAGUAACACGUGGAUAACCUACCUAUAAGACUGGGAUAACUUCGGGAAACCGGAGCUAAUACCGGAUAAUAUAUUGAACCGCAUGGUUCAAUAGUGAAAGACGGUUUUGCUGUCACUUAUAGAUGGAUCCGCGCCGCAUUAGCUAGUUGGUAAGGUAACGGCUUACCAAGGCAACGAUGCGUAGCCGACCUGAGAGGGUGAUCGGCCACACUGGAACUGAGACACGGUCCAGACUCCUACGGGAGGCAGCAGUAGGGAAUCUUCCGCAAUGGGCGAAAGCCUGACGGAGCAACGCCGCGUGAGUGAUGAAGGUCUUCGGAUCGUAAAGCUCUGUUAUUAGGGAAGAACAAAUGUGUAAGUAACUAUGCACGUCUUGACGGUACCUAAUCAGAAAGCCACGGCUAACUACGUG